UGCAGUGUCACCUAAUGGUUAAGGUACUCGGCUCAUAACCGAGCUUAUGUGGGUUCGACUCCCACCACUGCAACCA
This 76-nucleotide transfer RNA is filed under the name Cyanobacteria bacterium FACHB-471. Its description in RNAcentral is "tRNA-Ile". It matches the Rfam family "tRNA". Rfam says of the family: Transfer RNA (tRNA) molecules are approximately 80 nucleotides in length. Their secondary structure includes four short double-helical elements and three loops (D, anti-codon, and T loops). Further hydrogen bonds mediate the characteristic L-shaped molecular structure. tRNAs have two regions of fundamental functional importance: the anti-codon, which is responsible for specific mRNA codon recognition, and the 3' end, to which the tRNAs corresponding amino acid is attached (by aminoacyl-tRNA synthetases). tRNAs cope with the degeneracy of the genetic code in two manners: having more than one tRNA (with a specific anti-codon) for a particular amino acid; and 'wobble' base-pairing, i.e. permitting non-standard base-pairing at the 3rd anti-codon position. RNAcentral also lists the same sequence under 2 other names. Lineage: Bacteria; Bacillati; Cyanobacteriota. The record is from RNAcentral.